GUUUCAACACUUGAGCUGAGGGGAUCAUUUCUAUAGUCUUUGACUUAUGUUGAAUCGGGGUCCAUGUCGGUUACUCUAACCACGAUGAAGAGAACUGAUGUUCCCUUCUGACGAAGCGGGCAGUGAGUGAUGAUGCAUUUCAUCCGCUCCAGGUCGUUGAUGACCGUUCCAUGCUCUCUAGUGGAGUAGUGAGGUAGGGAUCAUGAUCAGAGUGGU
The sequence is a small nucleolar RNA, 216 nucleotides long. Its record names the gene U3. It matches the Rfam family "Small nucleolar RNA U3". Rfam says of the family: Small nucleolar RNAs (snoRNAs) are involved in the processing and modification of rRNA in the nucleolus. There are two main classes of snoRNAs: the box C/D class, and the box H/ACA class. The record is from Ensembl.